AAAUAGCCCCGAUAGUAGUGGAAAUCCUUUUUUGUUUUUCCUUUAAAAACAAAAAAGAUUACUUCACUAAACUUUUAUUAACAUAGGAGUUCAGUGAAUUACAUUUGAAGCGAAUAGCGGGAAAUAGC
RNAcentral lists this small RNA (128 nucleotides) under Flavobacterium succinicans. RNAcentral's name for it is "Flavo-1 RNA". It matches the Rfam family "Flavo-1 RNA". Lineage: Bacteria; Pseudomonadati; Bacteroidota; Flavobacteriia; Flavobacteriales; Flavobacteriaceae. The record is from RNAcentral.